AUGUUCGGGUGGGUUGCCAGGGCCGACGAUCGACGGACGCCGGGGCUGGUCGUGGAGUACCUGCAGAGGAAUGCCGACGUGAAGUCUGUUGCAGAGCUUGAGAGCGAGGGGACGCGCAAGACUGACAAGCUGGUGGCCAAUUUGGCCAGCCAGAUUGAUGUGAAGGCCAAGCAUGCCCAGGAGCUCGAAUCUAAGUACAGUGUGAAGACGACCUCACUUGAGAACGUGAUGGAGGAAAGGGAACUCAUCUUCCAGAGAUACAGCGAUGAAAUCCACAAGAUGCAGCAACUAGCUCGUAGGCACUCGCAGAUGACACUACGGAGAAUCAGAAGGUCCGUUCGGAGCUGGAUUGCAAGAUGCAGGAUCUUGAGCUCAAAUCCAAGAAGCUUGAUGAGCUUGCUGUGCGUAGCGAAUCUGACAGAAGGAAUCUAG
This 432-nucleotide ribosomal RNA is filed under the name Triticum aestivum (bread wheat). RNAcentral describes it as "partial small subunit ribosomal RNA". The record is from RNAcentral. Lineage: Eukaryota; Viridiplantae; Streptophyta; Magnoliopsida; Poales; Poaceae.